CUCCGAAUACCAUAUACGUAAAAACAGGAGUCAGACUGCGGGAGCUAAGUUCCGUGGUCAAAAGGGAAAGAGCCCAGAUCGUCAAUUAAGGUCCCAAAGAUAUAGUUAAGUGGAAAACGAUGUGAUUUUGCGUAAACAACCAGGAUGUUGGCUUAGAAGCAGCCAUUCAUUUAAAGAGUGCGUAAUAGCUCACUGGUCGAGUGAAGUUGCGCGGAAAAUUACCGGGGCUAAACUAUACACCGAAAUUGCGGAUUCAUGAGUAAUCAUGAGUGGUAGAGGAGCAUUCUGUUGUAGGAAGAAGUGUGAUCGAAAGGACAUGUGGACGAAGCAGAAGAGAGAAUGCCGGAAUAAGUAGCGAAAGCAUGGUGAGAAUCCAUGCCAUCGAAAGUCUAAGGUUUCCUGGGGAAGGUUCGUCCGCCCAGGGUAAGUCGGGACCUAAGGUGAGGCCGAAAGGCGUAGCCGAUGGACAGCAGGUAGAAAUUCCUGCACUACCGAAAUACUUAAAAGAUGCAAGGGACACAGGAGUGGAAGGAAAGCGAGGAAGAGGAAAGACUCGUAUCGAAAGAUAUAGUGAAAAUUAAAGUAACGAAUUUCCAAGAAGCACACUGGCGAGAAAAGCUUGUAGAUAUUGUAUAGAGGUACCCGUACCGCAAACCGACACAGGUAGAUGAGGAGAGGAUCCUAAGAUGAGCGAGAGAAGCAUUGUUAAGGAACUCGGCAAACCAACCCCGUAACUUAGGGAGAAGGGGUGCCUAUGUAAAAAUAGGCCGCAGAGAAGAGGCCCAAGCAACUGUUUAACAAAAACACAGGUUUCUGCUAAAUCGAAAGAUGAAGUAUAGGAGCUGACGCCUGCCCAGUGCUGGAAGGUUAAGGGAAAAUGUAAGUACAGAAGUAUGAAGCAUAGAACCAAAGCCCCAGUGAACGGCGGCCGUAACUAUAACGGUCCUAAGGUAGCGAAAUUCCUUGUCAGGUAAGUUCUGACCCGCACGAAAGGCGUAAUGAUUUGGGCGCUGUCUCGACAAUGUACUCGGCGAAAUUGUAGUACUAGUGAAGAUGCUAGUUACCUGCGAUAAGACAGAAAGACCCCAUGGAGCUUUACUGUAGCUUGAUACUGGGUUUCGAUAAUUUAUGUACAGGAUAGGUGGGAUGCAAAGAAGCAAGUGCGCCAGCAUUUGUGGAGCAGACGUUGGGAUACCACCCUUAAGUUAUUGGAAUUCUAACCUGUAGUCAUGAACUGGCUAGGGGACAAUGUCAGGUGGGCAGUUUGACUGGGGCGGUCGCCUCCAAAAGAGUAACGGAGGCGCCCAAAGGUUUCCUCAGCGCGGACAGAAAUCGCGCAAGAGAGUGCAAAGGCAGAAGGAAGCUUAACUGAGAGACUGACAAGUCGACCAGAUACGAAAGUAGGUCUUAGUGAUCCGGCGGUAGUGAGUGGAAAUGCCGUCGCUCAACGGACAAAAGUUACCCUGGGGAUAACAGGCUUAUC
This 1483-nucleotide ribosomal RNA is filed under the name human gut metagenome. RNAcentral's name for it is "bacterial LSU rRNA". It matches the Rfam family "Bacterial large subunit ribosomal RNA", at positions 954 to 2487 of the family's 2925-position model. The record is from RNAcentral.